CAAGUCCAGCAAAGGUCAUCCCAGGCGUGAAGACCCAGGCACUGGCACAGAGCUGGAACAAGGACUGAUGGGAUACCGAUGGGAAACCCAGGCACCUUCAACUCAAGUCCUUCAACACGCAGGAGAGACUGCAUCUUGGCCUCAUGGCUGAGAACAAGCGAAAAUUACAGGAGACACAAUCCUAACAAGUAGCAGCGUUCAAAAGUCGUGCUCUUGGCCACAUCUGCUCAUUCAGCAACCCUGUUGGCAGCUACAUCGAAACAGCUUUGGGCUCCAACUCUCGUCACCUGUGGCACAACCGUGACAGCCUCCUCGCCAGUCACCUGACAGCUGCCCUGGUGAUGACAUUGACGGGGGAGCCAGACCACAUCAUGACUCGGCUAACACUCCUCUAAGGACAUCCCUUCAGUCCUGGACGCCGAGUUCACACUGCCAACUGCCGAGUCCUGUGCCCUUGACCCCUCACUACCUCGAGUGAUACUGCCCCUCCAUUCAGUCUAUUCAGAGCUCUCUACAGUGGCUGUUCUUUGAGCGGAAGUGUUCAUUCUCCAAAUGCUCUUCUUCCCUUCUUCUCUUACAACUCCAAACCCUGUCAUCCUGAACCCCAACCCUUAAUGCCCCCUUCCCUACUUGCCCUUUAUUUUUACCACCAAUAAAAUGCUUCCCUCCCUCUGUUAUUCCACGCUCCCUUCCUCCCCACUUUCAUUCUUUCUUAUGUAUGGACAUAGGCUACAUAUAUGUAAGGCAGGCACGUGACCUCUUGGGCUGGGGAAAUGGCUCAGCCACUUAAAGCUCUUGCCUGAGUCUGAAACCCAGAACCAUGGUGGAAGAAGAGAAUCAAGUCCCCCAAACUGUCCCAUGAUCUUCAAAUGCACACUAUGGCACACACAGAGAGAGAAUAAAAAAUAAAUUUUAAAUAUUUUUUUGGGAAUAAACUCAGUAUUCACCAAACAUGUUUUGAAUCUGAACCUGUCUCUUAA
This is a long non-coding RNA of Meriones unguiculatus (Mongolian gerbil), 980 nucleotides long. RefSeq lists it as uncharacterized. The record is from RefSeq and is a predicted model, not a curated record. NCBI's taxonomy places the organism in Eukaryota, Metazoa, Chordata, Mammalia, Rodentia, Muridae. The transcript is spliced from 4 exons.